Molecule: ribosomal RNA, 682 nt
Filed under: uncultured bacterium
Lineage: Bacteria
Description: bacterial SSU rRNA
Rfam family: Bacterial small subunit ribosomal RNA
Source: RNAcentral
GACGAACGUUGGCGGUGCGCUUAAUGCAUGCAAGUCGAGCGAGAAGCAGUCGUUCCGUAAGGUUCGACUGUGGACAGCGGCGAACGGGUGCGUAACACGUGAGAAACCUGCCCCCCAGACCGGGAUAGCCCAGGGAAACCUGGAUUAAUACCGGAUACUCUCCUCGGACCGCAUGGUCUGUUGAGGAAACAGUCCGCUGCUGGGGGAUGGUCUCGCGGCCUAUCAGGUAGUUGGUGAGGUAACGGCUCACCAAGCCGAAGACGGGUAGCUGGUCUGAGAGGACGAUCAGCCACACUGGAACUGAGACACGGUCCAGACUCCUACGGGAGGCAGCAGCAGGGAAUAUUGCACAAUGGGCGAAAGCCUGAUGCAGCGACACCGCGUGCGGGAUGAAGGCCUUCGGGUUGUAAACCGCUUUCAGGAGGGAAGAAACUGACGGUACCUCCAGAAGAAGCUCCGGCCAACUACGUGCCAGCAGCCGCGGUAAUACGUAGGGAGCAAACGUUGUCCGGAUUUAUUGGGCGUAAAGGGCUCGUAGGCGGUUCAACAAGUCGGUCGUGAAAGCCCGGGGCUCAACCCCGGGAGGCCGGUCGAAACUGUUGUGACUAGAGUUCGGUAGAGGUGAGUGGAAUUCCCGGUGUAGCGGUGGAAUGCGCAGAUAUCGGGAGGAACACCAUUAUCU